UUAAAUUUAGGUGAUGAGGCUCGCCAGUGUUCGCAAGAACCGAACUGCCAGAAUAAGUGGGUAAUGCUCGCUUUAAUGGGCUGAUAGCUUCUACUUCAUU
Molecule: non-coding RNA, 100 nt
Filed under: Candidatus Melainabacteria
Lineage: Bacteria; Bacillati
Description: Fluoride sequence
Rfam family: Fluoride riboswitch aptamer (crcB RNA motif)
Source: RNAcentral